UACAGAGGUGGCAAGCGUUGUUCGGAAUUACUGGGCGUAAAGGGCGCGUAGGCGGCCAUCUAAGUCAGACGUGAAAUCCCUCAGCUUAACUGGGGAACUGCGUCCGAUACUGGAUGGCUUGAGUUUGGGAGAGGGAUGCGGAAUUCCAGGUGUAGCGGUGAAAUGCGUAGAUAUCUGGAGGAACACCGGUGGCGAAGGCGGCAUCCUGGACCAACACUGACACUGAGGAGCGAAAGCCAGGGGAGCAAACGGG
RNAcentral lists this ribosomal RNA (253 nucleotides) under uncultured bacterium. Its description in RNAcentral is "partial 16S ribosomal RNA". It matches the Rfam family "Bacterial small subunit ribosomal RNA", at positions 524 to 776 of the family's 1533-position model. The record is from RNAcentral.